This is an RNA transcript of Ziziphus jujuba (common jujube), 2941 nucleotides long. RefSeq lists it as uncharacterized. The record is from RefSeq and is a predicted model, not a curated record. The transcript has 26 exons. NCBI's taxonomy places the organism in Eukaryota, Viridiplantae, Streptophyta, Magnoliopsida, Rosales, Rhamnaceae.
UGGAGGGAAAACCCUUGAACCAACAUCAAACGCCAACGUGGUUUUUGUAGAAGAAGAAGCAGCGCGCCCAAAGCUAAAGCUACAGAGAAUUAAUAAUAAUAAUAAUAAUAAUAAUAAACCAGCAUUUUGUAGAUUCUGAUUUUCUGUGUGUGUGUGUUUGGAGAGUGGAUAGAAAAAACAAUGAACUUGGAAGACGACGACUGGGAACUGAGCGCAGAACAACUUGAUUCCCUUGAAAAAGACGCUUUCAACAAGAUUGCUCAACAACGCCUUAACCCAUCCUCUUUCCCUUCUUCUUCUUCUUCUUCUUCUUCCAUUAACCAACAACAACAACAACAACAACAGCAACAUGGUUUUAAUUCCAACAACCGUACCAACUACAACUACAGGAAUUACUUGGAGAGCUUCCCUGCUAAACCCAUUGCUGAUUCUCGUCCUAACGAGGCUGACGCUUUGUAUUUGAGGUCCAGAGUAUUGCCUGCAUCAGUCCCAACAAAAUCGAACACUGAAGAUGAACAUUCGAAGGAGCUACCUAAGGUCUCUGUCAAAUUUUUUCUUCAUGCCAGUGGAAAUAUUGCUGCAAAAUUCUCAUAUGACCCUGUAGUAGUAGAUGCAUUCCGCAGGAUCCCCAAGGCCACUUGGAAUGCGAAAGAAAGGUUAUGGAUUUUUCCAGCAUCUUCAUUGUCAUUGGUGGAAAAACAACUCAGUGAAAUAUCUGGUGCUAAAAUUCAGGUAGAGAACUUAGAUCCCUUGGUGCACCGUGCCAUUGCUGCGGCUCUUGCUGUUCCAGAUCUUCAAGACCGAUAUGACAGAAUACCCACUAGUAUGGAAUCAAAGCUCUUGCCAUUUCAGCGAGAAGGUGUUAGGUUUAUAUUGCGACAUGGAGGGCGUGCUCUUCUUGCUGAUGAGAUGGGACUAGGAAAGACUUUACAGGCUAUUGCUGUAGCUUCAUGCAUUCGUGACUCAUGGCCUGUUCUUAUAAUGGCACCAUCUUCAUUGCGUUUACAAUGGGCUUCUAUGAUUCAACAAUGGCUGGAGAUUCCUCCAUCCGAUAUUCUUGUUGUUUUGUCUCAAUGUGGGGGAUCAAACAGAGGAGGAUUCACAAUAGUGUCCACAAACUCCAAAGGAACCAUUCAUCUCGAUGGCCUAUUUAAUAUCAUCUCAUAUGAUGUGGUCCCUAAAUUGCAGAAUUUACUAAUGGCAUCAGACUUUAAGGUUGUGAUUGCAGAUGAGUCACACUUUUUGAAAAAUGCUCAAGCAAAGAGAACAACUGCUUCUGUUCCAGUUAUUAAGAAAGCUCAAUAUGCGAUAUUACUUAGUGGAACUCCUGCUUUGUCUCGGCCAAUUGAAUUAUUCAAGCAGUUGGAAGCCUUGUAUCCUGAUGUAUUUAGAAGUGUCCAUGAAUAUGGUAAUCGAUAUUGCAAGGGUGGAGUAUUUGGAAUCUAUCAAGGUGCAAGUAACCAUGAAGAAUUGCAUAAUUUGAUGAAAGCAACACUGAUGAUUCGCAGACUUAAAAAAGAUGUUCUUUCUGAGCUUCCUACAAAGCGUAGGCAACAGGUCUUCGUAGAUUUGGCUGAGAAGGACAUGAAACAAAUUAAGGCAUUGUUUCGUGAGUUGGAGGUGGUAAAACAGAAAAUUAAGGCCUGCAAAUCAAAAGAAGAGGUUGACUCUCUGAAAUUUUCUGAGAAGAACCUUAUUAAUAAGAUAUAUAUUGAUUCUGCUGAAGCCAAGAUCCCUGCAGUUUUAGAUUACCUGGCAACUGUUGUUGAGGUGGGAUCAAAUUUGUUAAUAAGCAGUGUGAAUCUCUCCAACAUGUUCAUCUCGGAGUCAACAUGUCAAAAUUUUUACUGCUAUUCGUCUUUCCUACUGCACUGUAUGACAUGCUGGAAGGCCCCUUUACUUGCUGCAGGCUGCAAAUUUCUCAUUUUCGCACACCAUCAGCUCAUGAUUGAUUCAAUACAUCAGUCUCUUCUUAAGAAGAAAGUGGGUUGCAUUCGAAUUGAUGGCAGUACGCCUCCAGCAUCAAGGCAAGCUUUGGUCACAGAUUUUCAGGAAAAAGAUUCUAUAAAGGCUGCUGUGCUAUCUAUCAAAGCUGGAGGUGUUGGGUUAACUUUAACAGCUGCAAGCACUGUUAUCUUUGCAGAAUUGUCUUGGACUCCAGGUGACUUAAUUCAAGCUGAAGAUCGUGCUCAUAGAAUUGGCCAGGCAUCUUCGGUCAAUAUAUACUACCUGCUAGCAAACGACACAGUUGAUGAUAUCAUAUGGGAUGUUGUUCAGAGCAAGUUGGAAAAUUUGGGACAGAUGCUUGAUGGCCAUGAGAAUACUAUGGAGGUUGCAGACUGCCAACCAAGAAGCAGCCCUGCAAAACAGAAAAAGCUAGACUCCUUCAUGAAGCGGUGUAACAAUGUGGAUGACUAUGGAAAUCAGUCUAAACUCAAAAAUCCAAGGCAUUGAACCAGUCUGUACAGAAUGGUAAUAUAUUUGCACCAUGAUGCAGCUUCACGGGAAUCGGCUAAUGGAACAUGGUCAUUUUUAAAAUCCAAGCACAUGGUUUCACUUUACCCUAUUAGAAACAAUAUGCUGACAGCCCUUUUCAACUUGCAAUGAAGGGAUUGGUGGAACCUGCCGAUUAAAGUUAUGAGUUGAUGACUUAACCACGGAUAGAGACAUUGAUUCCACGAUCCAAAUUGAAAAUUUUGCUGAUAGAAAUCCUGGUAUAAAUCUAUGGUCAUAUGGAACGGGAAGAAGUGACGAAUGGAAUCAUAUUGAAAACUUACCCAAAAUUUCUUCUCUCUUUCUGAUUUGCCUGGUCAUUCAUAGAAACUGAGGGGCUUGUAAAAUGUAACUGACAGAGCUAUCCAAUACAGCAUUGUAUGUACUAAAGGCUGCCAAUUUAUGCCCAACAUAGAUUUAUUUUAAAAGGUAGUGCCUUAAAACUCUA